GGAUUCCCCUAGUAACUGCGAGUGAAGCGGGAAAAGCUCAAAUUUAAAAUCUGGUGGCCUUUGGUUACCCGAGUUGUAGUCUGGAGAAGCGUUUUCUGUGCUGGACCGUGUACAAGUCUCCUGGAACGGAGCGUCGCAGAGGGUGAGAAUCCCGUCUUUGACACGGACUACCAGUGCUAUGUGAUGCGCUCUCAAAGAGUCGAGUUGUUUGGGAAUGCAGCUCAAAAUGGGUGGUAAACUCCAUCUAAAGCUAAAUAUUGGCGAGAGACCGAUAGCGAACAAGUACCGUGAGGGAAAGAUGAAAAGCACUUUGGAAAGAGAGUUAAACAGUACGUGAAAUUGCUGAAAGGGAAACGCUUGAAGUCAGUCGCGUUGGCUAGAACUCAGCCUGGCUUUUCUUGCUUGGUGCAUUUUCUAGUUGACGGGCCAGCAUCACUUUUGGUUGCGGGAUAAAGGUUGCAGGAAUGUGGCACCUCCGGGUGUGUUAUAGCCUGUGAUUGUAUGCCGUGGCUGGGAGUGAGGAACUCAGUGUGCCUUCAUGGCGGGACCUUGUGUCACCUUCGCACUUAGGAUGCUGGCGUAAUGGCUUUAAACGACCCGUCUUGAAACACGGACCAAGGAGUCUAACAUGCCUGCGAGUGUUUGGGUGGAAAACCCGGGCGCGCAAUGAAAGUGAAAAGUUGGGACCUCUGUCGUGGAGGGCACCGACGCCCGGACCAGACCUUCUGUGACGGCUCCGCGGUAGAGCAUGUAUGUUGGGACCCGAAAGAUGGUGAACUAUGCCUGAAUAGGGUGAAGCCAGAGGAAACUCUGGUGGAGGCUCGUAGCGAUUCUGACGUGCAAAUCGAUCGUCAAAUUUGGGUAUAGGGGCGAAAGACUAAUCGAACCAUCUAGUAGCUGGUUCCUGCCGA
Molecule: ribosomal RNA, 911 nt
Filed under: Phlebia sp.
Lineage: Eukaryota; Fungi; Basidiomycota; Agaricomycetes; Polyporales; Meruliaceae
Description: eukaryotic LSU rRNA
Rfam family: Eukaryotic large subunit ribosomal RNA
Source: RNAcentral